AGAAAUAAAGUGGAAGACAGCCUCCACUGUUCCUAUUUUACUAUAAGUCUCUUGGGAGAAGGACUGACUCUUCAAUCCCUGUUGUAUGCAGCACACUAAACAGGACAGCGUCUUCCACCGUCACCCAGGCUGGAGUGCAAUGGUGCAAUCUUGGCUCACUGCAACCUCUGCCUCCCAGUUCAAGCGAUUCUCCUGCCUCAGCCUCCUGAGUAGCUGGGAUUAUAGGACCCUGCCAUCACACCAGGCUGAUUUCUUGUAUUUUUAGUAGAGACAGGAUUUCUUUUGGCCAAAAUAGGCCAAGCUUGUCUUGAACUCCUGACCCCCUGAUCUGCCUGCCUUGGCCUCCCAAAGUGUUGGGAUUACAGGAGUGAGCCAGCCUCCUCUCAUUCUAAAAUGGAUAUGAUGUGGCCCAAAUGCAUAAUACUAUAUUAUUUGACCACAAAUUGUUAGUCUCCACUCUCAAUACAAAAAGUCAAUUAUCUCCAAUACUAAAAACAGGCCAAAAAUAUUACAUUUAUGAAUUGUUCAUAAGACAAAACCACAAAUAAGGUAACAAGUCUCAAAGUCUUAUUUUCCCAAAAAGGUACUUUUUUUCAACUAAAAGAAAUGUACUGUUAUAGUUUACACCUGUGAGAAAGUUCAACAAAAGAAAGGAAUCUAAUAACUUACCCAAAUUUCCAUUUGAUUUUAUAAACAUUUUCACAUAAUCUAAGAAAUAGAAAAUGCAAACAAAUUUGUCAUGGGCAUUAAAUUGAGGCAAUUUCUAUGUGCUGAUUCAAAUAAAAGAUUUGGCCCCGUUCCUUUGGAUGAUGUAUCUGCCAACCGUCAAAUGUCAGGCUAGAUGAGGUUGGAGCAGAGAAGAGGAAGAGCAGACUGGAAAAGAGAGACUCCUUCUGCUUACACUGUCACCUUUCAGCACUACCCAUGCACUGUUGUCAGGAACCAUCAGUGCAUUUGGUCUAACAUUCAGUCCAAUCCUACCAUCUGGACAGUUCAGUACACUUCUGCUGAUUUAAAACUCAAAGUAAUAAGGAGGUUUUUGUUUGAUGAAAAGGGUCUGAGGUAG
This 1066-nucleotide long non-coding RNA is filed under the name Callithrix jacchus (white-tufted-ear marmoset). RNAcentral describes it as "lncRNA (ENSCJAG00000071447.1)". The record is from RNAcentral. Lineage: Eukaryota; Metazoa; Chordata; Mammalia; Primates; Cebidae.